RNAcentral lists this ribosomal RNA (497 nucleotides) under uncultured bacterium. RNAcentral describes it as "partial 16S ribosomal RNA". It matches the Rfam family "Bacterial small subunit ribosomal RNA", at positions 899 to 1397 of the family's 1533-position model. The record is from RNAcentral.
ACUCAAAUGAAUUGACGGGGACCCGCACAAGCAGCGGAGCAUGUGGUUUAAUUCGAAGCAACGCGAAGAACCUUACCAGAACUUGACAUCCCUCUGACCGGUCCUUAAUCGGAUCUUCUCUUCGGAGCAGAGGUGACAGGUGGUGCAUGGUUGUCGUCAGCUCGUGUCGUGAGAUGUUGGGUUAAGUCCCGCAACGAGCGCAACCCUUGUCAUUAGUUGCCAGCAUUUCGGAUGGGCACUCUAGUGAGACUGCCGGGGAUAACUCGGAGGAAGGUGGGGAUGACGUCAAAUCAUCAUGCCCCUUAUGUUCUGGGCUACACACGUGCUACAAUGGCUGGUACAAAGAGAAGCAAGAGAGUGAUCUGGAGCAAAUCUAUAAAACCAGUCCCAGUUCGGAUUGUAGGCUGAAACUCGCCUACAUGAAGUUGGAGUUGCUAGUAAUCGCGAAUCAGAACGUCGCGGUGAAUGCGUUCCCGGGUCUUGUACACACCGCCCGU